CAGAGGUGGCAAGCGUUGUUCGGAAUUACUGGGCGUAAAGGGCGCGUAGGCGGCCUUCUAAGUCAGACGUGAAAUCCCCCGGCUUAACCUGGGAACUGCGUCUGAUACUGGAGGGCUUGAGUAUGGGAGAGGGAUGUAGAAUUCCAGGUGUAGCGGUGAAAUGCGUAGAUAUCUGGAGGAAUACCGGUGGCGAAGGCGGCAUCCUGGACCAUUACUGGCGCUGAGGCGCGAAAGCUAGGGGAGCAAACGGGAUUAGAUACCUCGGUAGUCCUAGCCCUAAACGAUGAAUACUUGGUGUGGCGGGUAUCGAUCCCUGCCGUGCCGAAGCUAACGCAUUAAGUAUUCCGCCUGGGGAGUACGGUCGCAAGGCUG
RNAcentral lists this ribosomal RNA (372 nucleotides) under uncultured organism. RNAcentral's name for it is "bacterial SSU rRNA". It matches the Rfam family "Bacterial small subunit ribosomal RNA", at positions 526 to 896 of the family's 1533-position model. The record is from RNAcentral.